This 877-nucleotide ribosomal RNA is filed under the name Triticum aestivum (bread wheat). RNAcentral describes it as "partial small subunit ribosomal RNA". The record is from RNAcentral. Lineage: Eukaryota; Viridiplantae; Streptophyta; Magnoliopsida; Poales; Poaceae.
GGAAGGUCGGAGUUCCAGGCGGUGCUGGCCGUCGUCACAUGUCCCCAGUCUAGAUCUAAGAAAAAAGAGAAGGGGAUGAAUCUGGAGGAAGAGCUUGGUGAAGAACAAGGUGUUCGUAAUGGCAACGGUGGUAAUCAACGAUGAGAAAAAAGGACCGAGAUUGUAUUUGUACUAGCAGGUGAUGCCUUAAUUUAGUUCAUGGCAUUAUGGCGGGACGCAUGUGGUAAAUGGUUACAAUGGUGGCUCAUGGAGUUAAAAUUUUGUGUUCUGUACAGAUUUGAGAUGAUAGAAAUUCAAAAUAGGGGUCCUUUGCUACUGUUGGUUGUGUCCUUGCUUCUUGGAGAGGAGGGAGGGCAAAUGACUUUGAUGCCAGAAAUAGGGGAGGAACAUAAGGUCAAGUAUCCAUGUUGUUUGGUACCUUAUAGAAGAUGCAUUACGCAAUGGUCUCGGCAACUGCAGCGAGAUUUCACAGUCACGAUUUUUCCAUAUUGGUAUGGAUUCUAAAACCUUAUAGGAAAAUGCCAUCUUUCACAAAAUGAAACUAUGCCUACAGAGCUGCUGAGGGAUGCCCUGUAGUGGACUGGCUGAGACUGUCGAGCAUCAGGUUGCAAAUCUCCAGAGGUACAAGGGGCUCAUUGGUAGCCUGGCCUGCUUUUGGUAUAUCAAUGAGGACAUCCCUGACGUAAAUUCGUUUCGUGACAGUGGGUGAUUGAGAAAGGAGCCCAAGCAGAAGGCAGAACACAGAUGGAGCAGUUGACUUGUUCUUGUUCAUUUCCCUUUCCGCAACGAAUAGAAUCCAAUUAAUUAAUUUGGGUGUAUGCUGAUUGAGAUAGUUAAUCAAUUGGGUAUGUAGACCAUGGUGUUGGUAGGUAAGUCU